AAGGUUUGGAUUAAUUAACCCAAGGGGUAUAAGUGUAUAUUUACCUCUUUAAUGAAACCUAUUUUUGUGACUUUGAGCCUUGAGUGCUACUUUGGGAACAAAAACUUGGUUUGGUGCUAUCCUAGUCUUUUUCUCUUUUUUUUAUGUUGUUGACAAAAAAGAUUCGGGUGUAAAAUGUAUCAAAUUACUAAAAAAUUUCUGUUUUAAAUUAACAUUUUCUAAAUAAUUAAUUUGGUUUCAUAGUUCAAGAACAUCUAAUUAUAUAAAAAUAUGUUUGAUUGCCACGUCAUUAAGUGGAGGAAGAAAAACUUGCCACGUGUCGUUGUGUUUCCUUAUAUGAGCCUCGCGAAAUAAUGUUUGGGUUUUAACGUAUUACUCAACAAAUCUAACCCAAUACAGAGAGUUGUGUCUUCUCCAAGUCGCCGCUACCGAAAUCUCUCUGACACGAACAAUGGAGUUUCGAGAUAUUGAGUGAGUCGAAUCGAUUUGAAGAAGCUCUUGUGAAUCUUCGAGUAGCAUUGUUUCGGCUUCUAUUCUAUUCGUCAGUUUCGAUUUGCCGAAGCCAUUAUCACACUUCUUAACUACAUCGUCUUCCUCUUCAAGGCGGUGUAUCUACACUAUAUAAAGUUGGCUCAACACAAGCCACGUGGUGGUUGAAGAUCUUUGCUGCCUCCAUUCACUGUGAAGCGGGCUUUCUCGAAAGGCUAUGGCGAAGUUUCUCUGUGAGGAGAUGAGUUGAGAUGAGAGUUCUUGGUUCUCUUUGAAGAAAUUGAUCGACGGUUCAAGACAAUUACUCCAUUAGCGCAGGUGAAACUCUGGGAAGAGCUUUCAUGGUGUUUGGUUUGGUAGCCGGCGGCGUUGAGGAAGUUCAAUUCUUCGGCACUGUUUUAAUGGAAACACCAACUCACUUAAUCUCCAUCUCUUUGGGACGACAUCACCGCCGUGGUAACAUGCUUUCUUAAUGUCGGUGUGGUAACCUCAGCCUUUCUGCAUAUUCAAACGCAUCUUAUUGACAAUCAAAUUUUGAUGCAUGUUUUUUCUCAACAUACAGAGCUUCCAUGAACACUUGGUUAGAAGCAAACUCAUUACCAAAAUGAAUAUAAUCUUGGAAUGUUUUGCUAAAUUGAGUAUUCGUCAUUAGCUGAAGGAUCUUCUUCUUAUGAUCAGAACGAUAAGAUUCAAGGAAAAGAAGCUUCAGAACCUUGCCUUGCUGGAAGAAAAGAAAAGAAACUGAAAGAUUAAGCUCUGCUCUUCCACCAAAACCAAGGAAAUUAGUUGCACAUAAGGUAAAGGUAUGUUAAUUCUUUGCCCAAAAAGAAGAUGAUCCUACACAAAGCAAUUGUUGUUUCUGGGAAUUUUCAGAAGUUGAUGAAAGUAGCAUUUACUGUACGUGUUCUCCAUGUGAAAGAACUUAGUGUACUUGGGUUCCUUUUUGUAUUUGAUUCAGCUUAAGUUACAAUGUUGUGUUUCUUCAAAGCUUUUUAGAUGCAAGUUGUUUUCUCUUCUCUAUGAUUGUUGUAAAGUUGUGAUGUGAUCAUCUUUGAUCACUAAGUUUAAGUACAACGUAAAUUUGAAACUUUUUGAGUGGUAAUAUGUUUGAAAUUGACUACCGGUUUAAAACUUUGAACAAUGAUACAAUGAUUUCUAUAUGUUUUUUUACAAAAGAUUUUCUUGAAUAUAUUAAAUAAUGUUUACAAAGAAAACUAUUGAGAGAACCUCCUCAAAACUAUUGAGGAGAAGAGAAGAAGAGUAUUCACUUGUUAGAAUCCGGCCAUCCUCCAUCUCUUAUUUCCUGGAGGAUGGCCGGAUUCUAACAAGUGAAUACUCUUCUUCUCUUCUCCUCUUUUGCCGUAUGUUUUGUGUAUUGAAUUGUCUCCUUUGAAGAACAUAAUAUUGGCAAAAGAAUCUUUAAAAUUUUUAAGCACCCUAAAAUAAGAGCCUUGCAAUGGAGGAGGAAAAAUGUCAAGUUGCUUAGCUAAGUCUCUUACCCAAAUUAUCUCCUUAAAUACUAUUAUUAUAUUAUUAAGCAACCCAUUAUGAGUUGGUAGGAUAAUGAUGCUCUAAUGGACCUUAAACAUGAUAGAACAAGUCAAACAUCAUAGUAAAAAAUCUACAAUGUUGUCCAUAACAAGUAUUGUGAAUUAAAGAAAAAGAUAAAAGACCAAGAACUAAUAAACACAAUAUAAAAAAUGAAAAUUUAAAUACUACGAUAAUUGAAAAUAUUUGUUUAUAAAAACAGUAGAGGAAAAAAAACUAAUUAAAAUAUAACUUCAACACCAAUAUUAAGAUAUUGGAGAAUUUGUCGAAUAUAAAUACGAAUUAGAAUAUUUAAAAAUAAUUAUGUUAUAUUGGUAGAGAAAUAAUGUGAUAAUUUGUCACUAACUUGGACAAUAUUUUUUUUUUACAAUAAAAUAUAGAAAGAGGCAGGGAAAUAAUUUGUAUAAUUACAAAUUUAUAUUUUAUGCUUCGUAAAUACAAUAGAACACAACACUAUACAAAUGUAAUAUUACAUGUCAGAUAUAUAUAAAGAUAUAUAUUAUAAUUACAAUUCUAUUAUACAUUUCUAAACAAAAUAUAAUAUGAUAGUAUUUUAUCGUAACAUUACAUAUUAAAUUUUAUAAAUAUACGUUUUUAGAAUUCAAAACAUGUAAUAAAAGAAAUCUACAUUUCUUAUAGGUAAAUAGAAUAUUUGAGUAAGUAACUUUUAAACUGAAAUGUAAUUAAAAAUGAGAGGUGAAAAUGAUAAAUGAUGAAAUGGCAAUUAUACAAACAAAAAAAAACAUUCCAAACCAACACUAUAAUGAAUACAUAACCAUUAAGAGCAAGCAAUAAAUCAUACCACAGAUAAUCUCUUUUCCAAUCAAACCACCCACCUCAAGUAUAUUAGAAAACAUACAUCAUUAUUAUACAUAUCAAUUCCAUUCGUAAUUUUAACACACAAAUAACAAAAAAUAGCAAC
Brassica rapa (field mustard) is the source of this 2959-nucleotide long non-coding RNA. RefSeq lists it as uncharacterized. The record is from RefSeq and is a predicted model, not a curated record. Lineage: Eukaryota; Viridiplantae; Streptophyta; Magnoliopsida; Brassicales; Brassicaceae.